AUUAUGAAAAAUAAGGGUUGUGAUUUCCUCACAAAUUUUCAACAUAUGUCAUAACGACAUUUUUGGUACGAUAAAAAGUUUUAUCACCAAGAAAGUAAUAACAAACAAAAACAAAAUAUUUUUUUAUUCAUUAACAACAUGUGUUUUAAGCAACAAGUAAAGGAAGCGAUUAUUAUAGUGUUUACAAAAUUGUUGGGCAGAUGUAAAGUAUAAAAAUCCUCGGAUGAUUGAGUGGAUUAUUUCCAUUUGGAUAGCCGUGGAACAGCACAGUCUAAAGAAUACAAAAGAAGUCAACAAAAAAUGGAUAAGAAAAACAUUUUGUUAUGCUUCAUGGUGUUAUGUUUAAUUGCGAAUUGCUAUGGCGCUUUUCCAUGGAAAUGCAUACAAUGCCAGACUAAAUUCGAUCAAUGUAAAGCAGCGAAUGAAAGUGAGAUGUUUAUUUGCCUUCGCGCAAAAACUCGCUGUUACGAAAGUUGUAAAGCAGGACAAACUGAGAGAUCGAGAGCGCAAAGGAUUUUAUUCAAGAGAAUCCUAAAGAAAAUGAAGAGGACGGAAAGUUAACAAAUAUGUCUUAAGCAAUAAAUAUGAGUGUUUAUAUUACAGACAAUUAUUAAUAUAAUCGUGAAAUAUUGUAGCUUUUUUGAUAAAUUUAUAUGAUUCGAAAUACAACAUGUUUUAAAUAUAAA
Hydractinia symbiolongicarpus is the source of this 686-nucleotide long non-coding RNA. RefSeq lists it as uncharacterized. NCBI's taxonomy places the organism in Eukaryota, Metazoa, Cnidaria, Hydrozoa, Anthoathecata, Hydractiniidae. The transcript is spliced from 2 exons. The record is from RefSeq and is a predicted model, not a curated record.